This 611-nucleotide small RNA is filed under the name Pongo abelii (Sumatran orangutan). RNAcentral describes it as "retained intron". The record is from RNAcentral. Lineage: Eukaryota; Metazoa; Chordata; Mammalia; Primates; Hominidae.
CAAGGGUCUGACUGGAAGCCCUGGCAGCCCUGGUCCUGAUGGCAAAACUGGCCCCCCUGGUCCCGCUGGUCAAGAUGGUCGCCCCGGACCCCCAGGCCCCCCUGGUGCCCGUGGUCAGGCUGGUGUGAUGGGAUUUCCUGGACCUAAAGGUGCUGCUGUGAGUAUUCAGUGAGGAUCCAUGAAGAGCCAGGGACAGACACACCUGAGACUCGAAGGAGUCCUGGGCUCUGGGCUCAUCUCUGCUGCUGACCUGCCGUGUGGCCACUCACUCUCGCUUUCUGGACCUCAGCCUCCCUAUCUGUAAAAUGAAAGACUUCUCGGUGGGGCGCAAUGGCUCAUGCCUGUAAUCCCAGCACUUUGGGAGGCCGAGGCGGGCAGACCAUGAGGUCAGGAGUUUGAGACCAGUCUGGCCAACAUAGUGAAACCACGUCUCUACUAAAAAUACAAAAGAUUAGCUGGGUGUGGUGGUGUGCACCUGUAAUCCCAGCUAGUCAGGAGGCUGAGGCAGGAGAACUGCACGAACCCAGGAGGUGGAGGUUGCAGUGAGCCGAGAUCGCGCCAUUGCACUCCAGCCUGGGCAACAGUGCGAGAUUCCGUCUCAAAAAAAAAAA